CCAGUUGAUGAAGAAGAGAUGAUCCAACACAUCAUCGCUGGCCUUGGCGAAGGCUACAGCGAGGUGAUUUCUACCGUGUGCGCACGGCCUGAACCGAUGACACUGUGAGUGAUCUAUACUCACAAGUUGUCAACU
Molecule: small nucleolar RNA, 135 nt
Filed under: Oryza sativa Indica Group (long-grained rice)
Lineage: Eukaryota; Viridiplantae; Streptophyta; Magnoliopsida; Poales; Poaceae
Description: Small nucleolar RNA Z247
Source: RNAcentral